CCCAGGCUUGAACAGCGAGUGACCAUUCCUGAAAAGGAACUUCCGCAAGGACACUCGUAGAGGUGCUGCAUGGCUGUCGUCAGCUCGUGUCGUGAGAUGUUGGGUUAAGUCCCGNAACGAGCGCAACCCUUGUUUGCUGUUGCCAUCAGGUAAAGCUGGGCACUCUGCAAAGACUGCCGGUGAUAAACCGGAGGAAGGUGGGGAUGACGUCAAGUCAGCAUGGCCUUUAUGUCUGGGGCUACACACGUGCUACAAUGGCCGGUACAAACCGUCGCAAAACCGUAAGGUCGAGCUAAUCGGAGAAAGCCGGUCUCAGUUCGGAUCGUAGGCUGCAACUCGCCUGCGUGAAGUUGGAAUCGCUAGUAAUCGCGGAUCAGCACGCCGCGGUGAAUACGUUCCCGGGCCUUGUACACACCGCCCGUCACAUCACGAAAGCCGGUUGUACUAGAAGUCGCCAUACCAACCCGCAAGGGAGGGAGGCGCCUAAGGUAUGGUCGGUGAUUGGGGUGAAGUCGUAACAAGGUAGGCGUAGUGCU
RNAcentral lists this ribosomal RNA (536 nucleotides) under uncultured bacterium. RNAcentral's name for it is "bacterial SSU rRNA". It matches the Rfam family "Bacterial small subunit ribosomal RNA", at positions 974 to 1509 of the family's 1533-position model. The record is from RNAcentral.